RNAcentral lists this ribosomal RNA (523 nucleotides) under uncultured bacterium. RNAcentral's name for it is "partial 16S ribosomal RNA". It matches the Rfam family "Bacterial small subunit ribosomal RNA", at positions 29 to 523 of the family's 1533-position model. The record is from RNAcentral.
UACGAACGCUGGCGGCGUGCCUAAUACAUGCAAGUCGAACGCUUUUUCUUUCACCGGAGCUUGCUCCACCGAAAGAAAAAGAGUGGCGAACGGGUGAGUAACACGUGGGUAACCUGCCCAUCAGAAGGGGAUAACACUUGGAAACAGGUGCUAAUACCGUAUAACACUAUUUUCCGCAUGGAAGAAAGUUGAAAGGCGCUUUUGCGUCACUGAUGGAUGGACCCGCGGUGCAUUAGCUAGUUGGUGAGGUAACGGCUCACCAAGGCAACGAUGCAUAGCCGACCUGAGAGGGUGAUCGGCCACACGGGGACUGAGACACGGCCCAGACUCCUACGGGAGGCAGCAGUAGGGAAUCUUCGGCAAUGGACGAAAGUCUGACCGAGCAACGCCGCGUGAGUGAAGAAGGUUUUCGGAUCGUAAAACUCUGUUGUUAGAGAAGAACAAGGAUGAGAGUAGAACGUUCAUCCCUUGACGGUAUCUAACCAGAAAGCCACGGCUAACUACGUGCCAGCCGCCGCAGUAA